UCACGGUGAUAUAAAAAUUGCAUCGAACGGAGGCCGGGAAGGGCCUCGUCGGAGGCAAAAACCGAGAGGGGGCGCGGCGGCGCCGCUGGUCUUCGGCCGCGUAUUCCGGCCGUUUGGCCAGAAUUUUGGCUUUGAUUUGGCCAUAGGAGGAAUCAGCGUGGAAAAACGAGUCGGGAGUAUGAAAUUUACCUCGAUCGGCGGUCGGAAAUUUCCCCGGUGCGGCGGCGGGUGGCGGCGGUCGGCCUCUGGUUCGUCUUCUCCGGCGAGCGGCAGGCGGCUAGGGUUUGUGGUCUGGUGUGGGGGUUCUAUUUAUAACCCAUUGCCUUUUGAUCUCAGCCGUCCAUUUUGUUUUAAUCUGGGCC
RNAcentral lists this long non-coding RNA (362 nucleotides) under Carica papaya (papaya). Its description in RNAcentral is "long non-coding RNA (CPAP_LNC011977)". The record is from RNAcentral. Lineage: Eukaryota; Viridiplantae; Streptophyta; Magnoliopsida; Brassicales; Caricaceae.